GAUGAACGCUGGCGGCGUGCCUAAUACAUGCAAGUCGAGCGAACGGACGAGAAGCUUGCUUCUCUGAUGUUAGCGGCGGACGGGUGAGUAACACGUGGAUAACCUACCUAUAAGACUGGGAUAACUUCGGGAAACCGGAGCUAAUACCGGAUAAUAUUUUGAACCGCAUGGUUCAAAAGUGAAAGACGGUCUUGCUGUCACUUAUAGAUGGAUCCGCGCUGCAUUAGCUAGUUGGUAAGGUAACGGCUUACCAAGGCAACGAUGCAUAGCCGACCUGAGAGGGUGAUCGGCCACACUGGAACUGAGACACGGUACAGACUCCUACGGGAGGCAGCAGUAGGGAAUCUUCCGCAAUGGGCGAAAGCCUGACGGAGCAACGCCGCGUGAGUGAUGAAGGUCUUCGGAUCGUAAAACUCUGUUAUUAGGGAAGAACAUAUGUGUAAGUAACUGUGCACAUCUUGACGGUACCUAAUCAGAAAGCCACGGCUAACUAC
Molecule: ribosomal RNA, 494 nt
Filed under: uncultured bacterium
Lineage: Bacteria
Description: partial 16S ribosomal RNA
Rfam family: Bacterial small subunit ribosomal RNA
Source: RNAcentral